This 509-nucleotide ribosomal RNA is filed under the name uncultured Diversisporaceae. RNAcentral describes it as "SSU rRNA". It matches the Rfam family "Eukaryotic small subunit ribosomal RNA", at positions 569 to 1078 of the family's 1831-position model. The record is from RNAcentral. Lineage: Eukaryota; Fungi; Glomeromycota; Glomeromycetes; Diversisporales.
AGCAGCCGCGGUAAUUCCAGCUCCAAUAGCGUAUAUUAAAGUUGUUGCAGUUAAAAAGCUCGUAGUUGAAAUUCGAAAUUUGUCCUAUGGUCGGGCUUUACGGUCCGUACAGUAGUGGCGAAUUUCUACCUUCUGAAGAACCUUCAUGUCAUUAAUUUGGUGUGUUGGGAAAUCAGGACUGUUACUUUGAAAAAUUAGAGUGUUUAAAGCAGGCUUAAGUCUGAAUACAUUAGCAUGGAAUAAUGAAAUAGGACGGAUUGGUUCUAUUUUGUUGGUUUCUAGGAUCACCGUAGUGAUUAAUAGGGAUAGUUGGGGGCAUUAGUAUUCAAUUGUCAGAGGUGAAAUUCUUGGAUUUAUUGAAGACUAACUUCUGCGAAAGCAUUUGCCAAGGAUGUUUUCAUUAAUCAAGAACGAAAGUUAGGGGAUCGAAGACGAUCAGAUACCGUCGUAGUCUUAACCAUAAACUAUGCCGACUAGGGAUCGGACGAGGUUAAUUUUUAGAUGACUCG